This 437-nucleotide ribosomal RNA is filed under the name uncultured Oscillospiraceae bacterium. RNAcentral describes it as "bacterial SSU rRNA". It matches the Rfam family "Bacterial small subunit ribosomal RNA", at positions 341 to 792 of the family's 1533-position model. Lineage: Bacteria; Bacillati; Bacillota; Clostridia; Eubacteriales; Oscillospiraceae. The record is from RNAcentral.
ACGGAAGGCAGCAGUGGGGAAUAUUGCACAAUGGGCGCAAGCCUGAUGCAGCAACGCCGCGUGAGGGAAGACGGUUUUCGGAUUGUAAACCUUUGUCUUUGGUGAAGAAGAAAGUGACGGUAGCCAAGGAGGAAGCCACGGCUAACUACGUGCCAGCAGCCGCGGUAAUACGUAGGUGGCAAGCGUUGUCCGGAAUUACUGGGUGUAAAGGGAGCGCAGGCGGGACUGCAAGUUGGAUGUGAAAUACCGAGGCUCAACCUCGGAGCUGCAUCCAAAACUGUAGUUCUUGAGUGAAGUAGAGGUAGGCGGAAUUCCGAGUGUAGCGGUGAAAUGCGUAGAUAUCAGGAGGAACACCGGUGGCGAAGGCGGCCUGCUGGACUGUAACUGACGCUGAGGCUCGAAGGCGUGGGGAGCAAACAGGAUUAGAUACCCUGGUA